This 250-nucleotide ribosomal RNA is filed under the name uncultured bacterium. Its description in RNAcentral is "partial 16S ribosomal RNA". It matches the Rfam family "Bacterial small subunit ribosomal RNA", at positions 524 to 776 of the family's 1533-position model. The record is from RNAcentral.
UACAGAGGUCUCAACCGUUGUUCGGAUUCAUUGGGCGUAAAGGGUGCGUAGGCGGUCGUGCAAGUCGGAUGUGAAAUCUCAGGGCUCAACCCUGAAACUGCAUUCGAUACUGCGCGGCUAGAGUGCUGGAGGGAGACUGGAAUUACGGUGUAGCAGUGAAAUGCGUAGAUAUCGUAAGGAAGACCAGUGGCGAAGGCGAGUCUCUGGACAGCAACUGACGCUGAGGCACGAGGCCAGGGGAGCAAACGGG